GUCCCAGACUCUACGGGAGGCAGCAGUGGGGAAUAUUGCACAAUGGGGGAAACCCUGAUGCAGCGACGCCGCGUGAAGGAUGAAGUAUUUCGGUAUGUAAACUUCUAUCAGCAGGGAAGAAAAUGACGGUACCUGACUAAGAAGCCCCGGCUAACUACGUGCCAGCAGCCGCGGUAAUACGUAGGGGGCAAGCGUUGUCCGGAAUUACUGGGUGUAAAGGGAGCGCAGGCGGGAAGCCAAGUCAGCUGUGAAAACUACGGGCUUAACUUGUAGACUGCAGUUGAAACUGGUUUUCUUGAGUGAAGUAGAGGUUGGCGGAAUUCCGAGUGUAGCGGUGAAAUGCGUAGAUAUUCGGAGGAACACCGGUGGCGAAGGCGGCCAACUGGGCUUUAACUGA
This 397-nucleotide ribosomal RNA is filed under the name uncultured bacterium. Its description in RNAcentral is "bacterial SSU rRNA". It matches the Rfam family "Bacterial small subunit ribosomal RNA", at positions 328 to 743 of the family's 1533-position model. The record is from RNAcentral.